This 25-nucleotide transfer RNA is filed under the name Natrix natrix (European grass snake). RNAcentral's name for it is "partial transfer RNA-Ser". The record is from RNAcentral. Lineage: Eukaryota; Metazoa; Chordata; Lepidosauria; Squamata; Natricidae.
CACCAGAGGGUGCAAUAAGACUUGC